UACUGGAGAUUUUGAAUGGCGUAUGAAAUUCUUGGCUAGAUUUUCUUCAAUAUACUCCUUGAAUUCAGUCAACUCAUUUUGUAAUAAACUGUAGAUUGGUUUGAAUGGCGGUUGUGCUCCUUCUUGAAGGUCAAUUGAGCAAUCAUAGGGACAAUGUUCCGGGAGUAUAUCCACAUUCUUUUUUUCAAAUAUAUCUUGAAAUUCUUGAUAUUGGCUUAGAAUGCCACGUGAAGUCUUUCCACCAUUAGAAACGAGUGUGGCAAAAAUAAUAUAUGAUGAUUCUUUCAUAGCAGCAUGCAAGAAAGCUUUUGUACCUAUAAACAAGGGUUUAAUUGAACUAGACUUAUGACUCUCUACUUGAUUAACUACACUGGUACUUAUACUUUCAAAGAAAGUAAGAGUUCAAGAAAUCCAAUCUAUUUGAAGGUUGUAUUAUUCUAACGACGAUAAACCUAAAAUGACUAGAUUAGAGAGAGAUCUAAUGAUAUUAAAUACUACAAAGCUAUUAUGACCA
RNAcentral lists this long non-coding RNA (514 nucleotides) under Physcomitrium patens. RNAcentral's name for it is "long non-coding RNA (PPAT_LNC008413)". Lineage: Eukaryota; Viridiplantae; Streptophyta; Bryopsida; Funariales; Funariaceae. The record is from RNAcentral.